Felis catus (domestic cat) is the source of this 1243-nucleotide long non-coding RNA. RefSeq lists it as uncharacterized. The transcript has 5 exons. NCBI's taxonomy places the organism in Eukaryota, Metazoa, Chordata, Mammalia, Carnivora, Felidae. The record is from RefSeq and is a predicted model, not a curated record.
UGCUUUUAACAGUUUGACCCAGACUCUGUCUACACAGCUCUAAAACCACCCAGCGAGCUUGUCCAGAGUCAAAGAAUCAACUAUCUGCCUCACUAGUAAUUCUGUCCUCAGGACUGUUUUAUGGGGAUCCCACUGAAAAUGAUGGCAGAUAUUUUGGGGCAAGAUGGAACUUUGGGGCUGCUCCACCACUUCUGCUUGGUGUAGUGGAAAGAGCACUGGACCCAGGCAGACGUAAGUUCAAAUCCCGGCAAUGACCACCCACCAGCUGUCCAACCACAGACGACGUGCUCCCAUUCUUCCAGUGUCCUUUUUUGUACCUGUAAGAUGGGGAAUCAUUUCUACUACCCGUAAGAUGAGAAGAAAACGAAGCUGGAGAGGUUAAGGGAAUUGCUCAGAGUAACAGCUAGUAAACGGCAGAACUGAGACUUCAUUUAUUUUACAAACAUUAUUGAACACCUACUAUAUGCCAGUGCCUCAGGCAUAGGAAAGUGGAUAAGUCCUAAUUCUAGUUCUCGAAAUGUUCACAGUAGAGUGCCAGAGCCUGAAACGCAAAUAAUCAAUUACAGUCUAGUGUGAUGUGAAAAGCAAGACGUAUUUAGGGAAUGUCCUAAAGCCCAGGGGUGGGCCCAGGUAUCGACACAGGAAGUGAGUCUUAAGGAGAGGACCCUUCAGAGGAAGCAGCCACGGAGUUCAAGCUGGAAUAUACAUCAGCAGGCGGACGCUGCAGCCAAGAGGGGAUUCGAGGGACAGGCCAUGAACAACAAGGAAAGACUGAAAAAGUGUCACAGACCAGCAGCUAUGGAGACUUGAUGAUCAAACGUUAUGUGGAUCGUGGACGGGAUUCUGGAACAGAAAAAGAAAGGGUAUUACUGAAAUCUAAAUAAAGUCUGGAGGUGCACAAUGAAGGAGCUGCCUUUCUUAAACAUCUCUUCCCCAGGCUAGUAUUCCAGGCUCUACGUGUGCAACGGUCACCCCUAAAAGGUGUGCCCACCUUCAUUCCUUUUUUUCCAUCCUUUCCCCAACCACCGCCAGCUCCUCGGGUCAGACAGCUCAACCGGAGGCUACAGAAUGUUCAGGAAGGGGCCAGCCUUGGCUUUGCAUUUUCAGGCUUCCUCACACGACAGCUCAAAUCAGACCCCCUACCCCAGCCCCCUUACCGGCAGGAGGGGAAAUAUGAAAUCUCAGCAGGCAAGGAGGUUUUUUAUGCUUCUGUAAAUCAUUAAAGUGGCCAAUAUUUCCCUUU